RNAcentral lists this ribosomal RNA (465 nucleotides) under uncultured bacterium. RNAcentral's name for it is "partial 16S ribosomal RNA". It matches the Rfam family "Bacterial small subunit ribosomal RNA", at positions 338 to 795 of the family's 1533-position model. The record is from RNAcentral.
CCUACGGGAGGCAGCAGUAGGGAAUUUUCGUCAAUGGGCGCAAGCCUGAACGAGCGAUGCCGCGUGAGUGAAGAAGGCCUUCGGGUCGUAAAGCGCUGUUGCGGGGGAAAAAAGGCAGCAAUAGGAAAUGGGUGCUGACUGAAGGUGCCUCGUCAGAAAGCUACGGCUAACUACGUGCCAGCAGCCGCGGUAAUACGUAGGGGGCGAGCGUUAGCCGGAAUGAUGGGGCGUAAAGGGUGCGCAGGCGGUCCUGCAAGUCUGGAGUGAAACGCAUGAGCUCAACUCAUGUAUGGCUUUGGAAACUGGAGAACUGGAGAGCAGGAGAGGGCAGUGGAACUCCAGGUGUAGCGGUGAAAUGCGUAGAUAUAUGGAAGAACACCAGUGGCGAAGGCGGCCGCCUGGCCUGUUGCUGACGCUGAGGCACGAAAGCGUGGGGAGCAAAUAGGAUUAGAUACCCCAGUAGUC